Molecule: long non-coding RNA, 215 nt
Filed under: Malus domestica (apple)
Lineage: Eukaryota; Viridiplantae; Streptophyta; Magnoliopsida; Rosales; Rosaceae
Description: long non-coding RNA (MDOM_LNC011136)
Source: RNAcentral
UGCUAUACGUUUUAGCUGUUGAGGAUUGUCGAGAGUCAUUCUUAUUUGUAAUGUAAUUCAUUCAAAAAUGAAUUUUCUGAUUGACUGUAAAAGAAAUUAAGGUUACACCCCAAAUUAAUUAAUUUAUGCAGUAUUAGGAGUUAGUUUAUAUUCAAGUAUGCAAAAGGAAAAACAAUAUAUAAAAUUAAAAUGCACACAAAGAAACAGACUAGUCA